GAACACUAUGACAACUUUCAUGUGUCACUGUUUGCCAGCAGUUACAAAGAUCAAGGCUGUCUGCUAUGGAGUGACUGAGAAGAGUGAGUUGUAUAAUUGGUCUGGAAAACAGUCUGUCCCCGAGCAAGGCUUGACAAACCAUGGCCUACUGCUUAUUUCUUUCCUGCUGCAAAGAGUUUUUAUAAUUAAGUGAAAAGAAUCUCCACAGGAAAACAUUUUGUGACAUGAAAACUAAAUGAACUAAAAGUAUCUGUAUUAUUGGAAGAGAACCAUAAUCAUCAACUGACACAUGGUCUACAGUGACUUGCAUUUCAGAAGCCGGUUUUCAAAGGUGAGGAGGAACUGCCUGGCCACACAGUCUAAACUACUGAGCACUGACAGGAGACUUGCUGACUCGGGCUCUGGCUGGCAUGAGGAGGUAUCAACUGCCAUCAUCCCAGCACACAGACAUUUCCUUUUCACAUUGUGGCGGUUAGGGUGAGCCUGCACACUGCUAGACCUCAUUAAAAACUGCAGCACAAGAGAGGCAGGAGUCAUUCACAUUUUCAAAACUGCUGUUUUAACACUGUCUUCUGAUGCUCCACCAAGAAACCAGACCAAAUAGCCUCUCUGUCUACAAUCAGAGCUGUGCCUGAUGCAGGAGGCCUGUUUGGAAGAAUGGAAAUUUGGUGAAAAAAAUCCUAACACACAGGAAGGGAAAGAGAAGAUGGUCCAUGAGGUAGAAGAGCAUGAACCUUGUCCACCUGAGAAUCAGCUUCCUGUAUGGGACAUCAUGUGAUCAGAGUUCGGAGAAUCUACGAACUCCAUUGGAAACGGCACAAGAUGGAAUCUUGCUAUGUUCCACAGGCUAUCCUUGAACUGCUCUGCUCAAGUGACCCCCUGCCUCAGCCUCCCACAUGGCAGAGUCUGCAGGAAUGCACACCGCACCAACCAUCUUGUCUUUCUUCAGUGCAUCACAGUGACACUCCUUCCUAAACCACAGACUGCUCAGCUUCGCUUGUUUCUGAACUUUACACGAAUAGAAUCACACUGCAUGCUUUCUUCAGCAACUUACUGCAUAGGUACAAGAUGCAUUAGUACUAGUCAUACACGUGGAUGUUAGUAACUUUCCUAUUUCCGCUCGACAGCACUCAGUAUGAUUUAUAAUCACAUAUUUGUUCACAUAAAUACUCCAGGCUUUGUGGGACCUAUGGUCCACCACUAUCACCACCACUCCAGGGAAGCACGAGAAUAGAUACAGAAACACAACAAAGGAGCUGGUCAGUCUCUGCUCUAAAACCCACUCUACAGAGCAGUUAGAGCGUCUGGUCUAGGAACCACAGUUUGCCGACCUUUCCUAUACAGUAACUGUCUAGAAGUGAGCUGCUGACUUGGCAGCACGCAGCUGCUAUGAUGGUGCCUGCUGUGGUUUGAACAUGUUUACUACAGACUCGGGGGUGAAGGCUUGGUCCCCAGCCGGUGGCACUGUUCGGGGAGGAGGUGGGAACUUCAGGAAGUAGGACCUUAUAGAAGCAAGGAGGUUGGCCUUGGGAUGGCCUGGGAUGAUGCCUCAUGUUCCCCGCCUCCCGGCUUCAUGGCUCUCUGGCUGUCGUGUGAGCAGUGCUAAUCUCCCAGACCCUCUACACCAUCAAGUUCUGCUCUGGCUUCAGAGCCACGAAAUGGAAGCAGCCAUGGACUGAACCCAAAUAAACCUUUCCGUGAGUUGCCUUGCUCACAGAUAUGAAAGGCCGACACACAGAAAAGUGGAGUGGGCUGCUGUGACUCCCUAACCGUGUGGUUCAGAAGCCUUCGGGACUAGCUGAUAGAAGUCUGGGGAAGUGAGCUACGAAAACCCAAGACUGUUGUAAUGCAGAGGCGGUCAGGCAGUUCUGAUGGGGGAAGAGCAGAAUGCUGCAGGACCGUGGACAGCUAAAUGCCAGGUUCAUGGGUUUCAGGUGGACAAGGACUCUGGGGAAAAGGACUAGAAGCCAUGUGUGUUACACUGUGGCAAAGAAUGUAAGUUCUGUAUGUGCCCCAAAUAUCAAGGACGAAUGAACCUGGAGGAGGAAACUGGAGGCUGCCAAGCAUGCAUGCUGUGGCUUGGUUAUUUCCGGCAGCCUUCAGCCAGGUUUGCAGUGAAAGCUGGGAGCAAACACCAGAGUGGAGAGUUUGAAAACCUCCAAGUUACAGCCAGAAAAGAAAGGAAAGGAAAGUGAGGAAAAAGGAACGGACAGCCGCUGAAGAAACUAGCCACACCAACAAGAAGUCAGACUUUGUAACAGGAUAAGAAGCCCUGAGAGCUUGGCUUGCUCGCGCUCACCUCUGGCCCAAGGGCAGAAAAGGACGAACAAGUGUAAACCCCUGUGAAAGACUGGGCUUUGGGGGCUGCUUCCUGUUCACACCGUGGGAAGUGUUUCUCAGUGGCUGCUGCAGCCAAGGUCCAAGUCGGCCUGGCUCCUGCUCAAAGCGGCAGCAGGCAUUGUGUGAACCUCAUGCUUCAGCACUGAGGAGCUAGCUGUAAACAUCUUAAAAUUUCUUAUUUUAAGCCAAUUUCUUAUUCUUGGUAUCUUAAUAUAUGUAGCCGUUCAUUCAGGAAAGAACUGCUAAAUAACCACUCUUUACUCACUGAUCUGGGUUUCUCUAUAUGUUGGAUUCCUUUAUGUGGAUUUGUUACAUUUGGUUUCAUCAGAUAAGAACUAAGAAUUAGUCCCUAUCUUAAUUAUAACGGCCCUAAACACCCAGGACCAAUGUUCCUUAAACUUCUAUGUGACUUUUGGCUCUUGGGUUCUGUAUAAAUCCUGGAAUUUCAGAGUAGCCAACUGUAGAAAAUGUGUACUAUCUAGUUAGUCUAGAGUGGUUGCUUCUGUACUGAACAUAUACAAUAGUUUUCCUAUCAUUAUUUCCUAAACAGCACAGUAUAACAACUGUUUAUACCUCUACACUGUGUAAGGCAUUAUAUAAUUAAAGUACUAAAAAAUCUAAGUGUGCUUUAAAGAAUAUGGGAGGAUGUAUAGGUUAUAUGCAAUAUUCUGCCACUUUAUACAACUAACUUGAGAAUCUUCAGACUUGGUUAUCUGGGGAAGUCCUGGAGGCAAUCUCCUGAAGAGACUGGGGGCUAAUUAUAAAGAAAAUUAACAAUGAGCUUCACUUUGCAGUCUGUCUGUAUUCUGUAAUUACUUUUAUAAGACCAAACCACAAUAAUCACGGCUAGCUACUACCAAUGACUGUAAUAUUCCAGGACUCUUGAGUGUGGCGUGUGUGUUGUUCUGUUCACCCAUCACAUUUUCACAGAAACCCUGAGAAACGGAAGUGCCAGUCCUAAGUCAUAAAUGAAAAACACUGGAAGACAGAAGAGCCGAGAAACUGGUCUAGACAGGAAGCCAGAUUUGAACCAAGUAACAAGUCUCGGAGCACACACUCCUCCUCGCUGCAUAUUACAAUUUU
This is a long non-coding RNA of Peromyscus leucopus (white-footed mouse), 3423 nucleotides long. RefSeq lists it as uncharacterized. NCBI's taxonomy places the organism in Eukaryota, Metazoa, Chordata, Mammalia, Rodentia, Cricetidae. The record is from RefSeq and is a predicted model, not a curated record. The transcript is spliced from 2 exons.